CAUUGCAUUAGUUUGAUCUCUCUUUUCUCUUCUUGAUCAUUUUUUAGCUACUAUUUUUCUUCUUCACACUGUUUGUUCUUUAGUUUUCUCUGAUCUUUCCCUGAUUUCUUGAUCCAGGAUUUUCUGUUUUUAGCUCCAUAAAGCUACCAAUUUGUUCUUAUUAUUUUCCCUUGGAGAAGCAACAGUUGAUGUAUUAUAUGCAUCUAUCUAUGCGACUUUGAUAACACUGUUUGCUUGAAUGAACUUUGAGAACUUGUGUUGCUUGCUUGUUGGUUAAGGUUCACAUUCCUCUGGAUUUUGAUAUAUAGUAGGGGUUGACCUACAGAUAUAUGCUCAUGCUAGCUCUCAAUCAUUUAUUCUUUGGACUCCUCUUCUUUUCCUUUCUCAAACUGUUAACCUAGUUAUCAUGUCAUAUUCCCUUGUUCCCUCGCAUUCUCUUUUAUCUCUCUCUCUCUCUCUCAUACUCUUACAUCCACACGCUUCUUUUUCUUUCUGAUGGAAGAAGAGCUCAGUCAAGGCUACUAAGAAAUGCCCAGAGGAAUGAGUGAAGCUGCCAGCAUGAUCUAGCUUUGGGUGACCAGAACACUCGUAUGCGUGUUCAUGAAGGUUGAUCAUCGCUAGGUCAUGCUGUGCCAGCCUCACUUCUUCCCGUUGUUGGGCAUCACGAUCACCUCCGGAAACGAAGAACAAGAGGCAGCAGCAGCAGUACCUUCGAUCUCUGCAAAAGCCUGAGUGCGCAAAGAAGAUGUGGCAUCUAAAUCUCCAUUUUCUGCGCAAGUCAAGAAUCUGCAGAUAAGAGGAGACCCACUUCACCUGCUGUUUCUCUUGAGACCUUCGCGUUUUGCCUCUCGUACAGACAACAUGUGUUCUUGCUCUUAAUUUUCUUUGCUUUUUACAGUCAUAUAAAGCACUAACUGAAACAAAAAGGCAUGAAUGUGAUGUGAAUAGUAGUUUUUGACAUCGUUCAGCACACACAUUAUUUUUGUGGCCAUUUUCUUGUGAUUCUGUUUUCCCUGAUCUAAACAAGCAUUCUCUGAAUCCUCCAAGACUAAUCUGUUUACACUCAGAUGCUUUUUCUAGCCUCCGAUGCAAGGAUUCAUUGGAAGCAAGAAAGUCCAAGACAAUUGUGAUGAUAAUUUCAUGCUACGAUCACUGGAAAUAGGCAUCAAGAUAAGACUGCAGCCCCUGAUGCAUGGUGGCCACUUGGUAGCUGCCGAAGACAACUGACCUGGGAAGUCUUUGUUCCUCGCUCACAAAUCUCACCUCCCAUUUCUGGUGCUAAAACAUCCCAUUGCCGUCGUUUGAAGUGGUCGGGUUCACUAAGAGACAAGAUUCACGUCUUCCUUCAGCUCUGUAAAUUCUACCAGGUCACAGUCAAGAUAAGCGACAAACAUGUCCUCUUCACUCUCGCCUAACCUUCAGAAUAAACUAAUAUAUUCGGACAAUAAUAUUGGAAA
Musa acuminata subsp. malaccensis (wild Malaysian banana) is the source of this 1457-nucleotide non-coding RNA. The record is from RefSeq and is a predicted model, not a curated record. Lineage: Eukaryota; Viridiplantae; Streptophyta; Magnoliopsida; Zingiberales; Musaceae.